Molecule: ribosomal RNA, 449 nt
Filed under: uncultured bacterium
Lineage: Bacteria
Description: partial 16S ribosomal RNA
Rfam family: Bacterial small subunit ribosomal RNA
Source: RNAcentral
AGCGAACGCUGGCGGCAGGCCUAACACAUGCAAGUCGAACGAAGUCUUCGGACUUAGUGGCGGACGGGUGAGUAACACGUGGGAACGUACCUUUUGGUUCGGAACAACUCAGGGAAACUUGAGCUAAUACCGGAUGAGCCCUUAGGGGGAAAGAUUUAUCGCCGAAAGAGCGGCCCGCGUUAGAUUAGAUAGUUGGUAAGGUAAAGGCUCACCAAGGCUACGAUCUAUAGCUGGUCUGAGAGGAUGAUCAGCCACACUGGGACUGAGACACGGCCCAGACUCCUACGGGAGGCAGCAGUGGGGAAUCUUGCGCAAUGGGCGAAAGCUUGACGCAGCCAUGCCGCGUGAAUGAUGAAGGUCUUAGGAUUGUAAAAUUCUUUUACCAGGGACGAUAAUGACGGUACCUGGAGAAAAAGCCCCGGCUAACUUCGUGCCAGCAGCCGCAGUAA